RNAcentral lists this transfer RNA (75 nucleotides) under Candidatus Omnitrophota bacterium. RNAcentral's name for it is "Candidatus Omnitrophica bacterium tRNA-Gln". It matches the Rfam family "tRNA". From Rfam's summary of the family: Transfer RNA (tRNA) molecules are approximately 80 nucleotides in length. The record is from RNAcentral. Lineage: Bacteria; Pseudomonadati; Candidatus Omnitrophota.
UGGGAUGUGGUGUAAUUGGUAACACAGAUGAUUCUGGUUCAUCCGUUUCUGGUUCGAGUCCAGGCAUCCCAGCCA